This 646-nucleotide long non-coding RNA is filed under the name Homo sapiens (human). Its description in RNAcentral is "non-protein coding lnc-TAOK1-8:1". The record is from RNAcentral. Lineage: Eukaryota; Metazoa; Chordata; Mammalia; Primates; Hominidae.
CCCCCACCCCCGCCCCGGCCCUUUGUACAGCAAUUGCAACAAGUGGGAGCAGAGGGUGAGAGGAGCCGGGGCCACCAGGGAGGGAGGGCGCGCCGGCAGCCGGAAGGGAGUGGGGAGGGCACGAGCCGGGGAGAGCGGUGUUGGCCAUGGAGACGUGGGGAGACUGGAGGCCGAGGCUUGGGGACCCGACUGUCAUCAGGGUCUUCCGCCAGACCCUGGGCGCUGCGCCCUCAGAGGCCGAUGAAAAGAAGCAGAAGGGAGAGGUCACACCGACAAAUCUGAAGCGGGUUUGCCAGGGGAGUGUACCCGUCUCCCCAGCCUGGGCCACCCGGUCCACAGGGAUUCCAUUUCCGGCCUUACACUCCGCUCCACGAUCUCAUCCAGGCGCUGCAGCUGUGCAGCUGCUCUACAGACUGCAGGGACCUGCUGAGACGAAUCCCCGGACGAGGAAAGGGGCCCCCCGCCUGCCCUACUGAGCCUUGCGCGCUGACCCGGUUCCUACACUUAACUUUUCCGGCUUCGGGUUUAAGACGCGUGCGCGCACACUCCGCUGCUGUGGGCGGGCAUUGGGGCGGGGCGAUACCGGGGGCCCACUGUCUGGGGAGGGGCGCGCGCGAGCCCAGGGCCAACGGACGCGCGGGCGGCG